RNAcentral lists this ribosomal RNA (443 nucleotides) under uncultured bacterium. RNAcentral's name for it is "partial 16S ribosomal RNA". It matches the Rfam family "Bacterial small subunit ribosomal RNA", at positions 338 to 795 of the family's 1533-position model. The record is from RNAcentral.
CCUACGGGAGGCUGCAGUGGGGAAUAUUGGGCAAUGGGCGCAAGCCUGACCCAGCAACGCCGCGUGAAGGAAGAAGGCCCUCGGGUUGUAAACUUCUUUUAUUCGGGACGAAACAAAUGACGGUACCGAAUGAAUAAGCCACGGCUAACUACGGGCCAGCAGCCGCGGUAAUACGUAGGUGGCAAGCGUUAUCCGGAUUUACUGGGUGUAAAGGGCGUGUAGGCGGGAGAGCAAGUCAGACGUGAAAUUCCAGGGCUCAACCCUGGAACUGCGUUUGAAACUGUUCUUCUUGAGUGAUGGAGAGGCAGGCGGAAUUCCUAGUGUAGCGGUGGAAUGCGUAGAUAUUAGGAGGAACACCAGUGGCGAAGGCGGAUUGCUAGACUGUAACUGACACUGAGGCACGAAAGCGUGGGGAGCAAACAGGAUUAGAUACCCGAGUAGUC